ACGGGUGAGUAACGCGUGGGAACGUGCCCUCUGGUUCGGAAUAACUCAGGGAAACUUGAGCUAAUACCGGAUACGCCCUUUUGGGGAAAGGCUUGCUGCCGGAGGAUCGGCCCGCGUCUGAUUAGCUAGUUGGUGAGGUAACGGCUCACCAAGGCGACGAUCAGUAGCUGGUCUGAGAGGAUGAUCAGCCACACUGGGACUGAGACACGGCCCAGACUCCUACGGGAGGCAGCAGUGGGGAAUAUUGGACAAUGGGCGCAAGCCUGAUCCAGCCAUGCCGCGUGAGUGAUGAAGGCCUUAGGGUUGUAAAGCUCUUUUAUCCGGGACGAUAAUGACGGUACCGGAGGUAUAAGCCCCGGCUAACUUCGUGCCAGCAGCCGCGGUAAUACGAAGGGGGCUAGCGUUGCUCGGAAUCACUGGGCGUAAAGGGCGCGUAGGCGGCGUUUUAAGUCGGGGGUGAAAGCCUGUGGCUCAACCACAGAAUGGCCUUCGAUACUGGGACGCUUGAGUAUGGUAGAGGUUGGUGGAACUGCGAGUGUAGAGGUGAAAUUCGUAGA
This 557-nucleotide ribosomal RNA is filed under the name uncultured bacterium. Its description in RNAcentral is "bacterial SSU rRNA". It matches the Rfam family "Bacterial small subunit ribosomal RNA", at positions 102 to 694 of the family's 1533-position model. The record is from RNAcentral.